RNAcentral lists this ribosomal RNA (104 nucleotides) under Periophthalmus magnuspinnatus. The record is from RNAcentral. Lineage: Eukaryota; Metazoa; Chordata; Actinopteri; Gobiiformes; Gobiidae.
UUAUGACGCCAUAACACACUAUGAGUCACAUCUGAGAAGCUAAGUAGGGUUGGGCUGGGUCAGGAGUUGGAUGGGAGACUGUUGGGAACAACAGGUGCCACAGU